AGUAAAUAGAUACCCGGGUAGUCCACGCCGUAAACGAUGUCGACUUGGAGGUUGUGCCCUUGAGGCGUGGCUUCCGGAGCUAAACGCGUUAAAGUCGACCGCCUGGGGAGUACGGCCGCAAGGUUAAAACUCAAAUGAAUUGACGGGGCCCGCACAAGCGGUGGAGCAUGUGGUUUAAUUCGACGCAACGCGAAGAACCUUACCUACUCUUGACAUCCAGAGAACUUAGCAGAGAUGCUUUGGUGCCUUCGGGAACUCUGAGACAGGUGCUGCAUGGCUGUCGUCAGCUCGUGUUGUGAAAUGUUGGGUUAAGUCCCGCAACGAGCGCAACCCUUAUCCUUUGUUGCCAGCGGUUAGGCCGGGAACUCAAAGGAGACUGCCAGUGAUAAACUGGAGGAAGGUGGGGAUGACGUCAAGCCAUCAUGGCCCUUACGAGUAGGGCUACACACGUGCUACAAUGGCGCAUACAAAGAGAAGCGACCUCGCGAGAGCAAGCGGACCUCAUAAAGUGCGUCGUAGUCCGGAUUGGAGU
This 532-nucleotide ribosomal RNA is filed under the name uncultured bacterium. RNAcentral describes it as "bacterial SSU rRNA". It matches the Rfam family "Bacterial small subunit ribosomal RNA", at positions 775 to 1304 of the family's 1533-position model. The record is from RNAcentral.